ACGUAGGGGGCAAGCGUUGUCCGGAAUUAUUGGGCGUAAAGGGCGCGUAGGCGGAUAGUUAAGUCCGGUGUGAAAGAUCAGGGCUCAACCCUGAGAGUGCAUCGGAAACUGGUUAUCUUGAGGACAGGAGAGGAAAGUGGAAUUCCACGUGUAGCGGUGAAAUGCGUAGAUAUGUGGAGGAACACCAGUGGCGAAGGCGACUUUCUGGACUGUAACUGACGCUGAGGCGCGAAAGCGUGGGGAGCAAACAGG
Molecule: ribosomal RNA, 252 nt
Filed under: uncultured bacterium
Lineage: Bacteria
Description: partial 16S ribosomal RNA
Rfam family: Bacterial small subunit ribosomal RNA
Source: RNAcentral